UGGGGAAUAUUGCACAAUGGGCGAAAGCCUGAUGCAGCGACGCCGCGUGAGGGAUGACGGCCUUCGGGUUGUAAACCUCUUUCAGCAGGGAAGAAGCGAAAGUGACGGUACCUGCAGAAGAAGCGCCGGCUAACUACGUGCCAGCAGCCGCGGUAAUACGUAGGGCGCAAGCGUUGUCCGGAAUUAUUGAGCGUAAAGAGCUCGUAGGCGGUUAGUCGCGUCUGCUGUGAAAACUCGAGGCUCAACCUCGGGCUUGCAGUGGGUACGGGCUGACUAGAGUGCGGUAGGGGUGACUGGAAUUCCUGGUGUAGCGGUGGAAUGCGCAGAUAUCAGGAGGAACACCGAUGGCGAAGGCAGGUCACUGGGCCGCAACUGACGCUGAGGAGCGAAAGCAUGGGGAGCGAACAGGAUUAGAUACCCUGGUAGUCCAUGCCGUAAACGUUGGGCACUAGGUGUGGGGUCC
Molecule: ribosomal RNA, 463 nt
Filed under: uncultured bacterium
Lineage: Bacteria
Description: partial 16S ribosomal RNA
Rfam family: Bacterial small subunit ribosomal RNA
Source: RNAcentral